ACAUUUUGAGAAUUUUCCAGCAUUAUGACGUCACGGGAAUUCCAUUGUGAAGGUAUACGUAUGACUGAAGAUACUUGCGAAUCAGUACUGUUCGGGAAUUGCGUUGUGAUGGUGCGGAGAAGAUGAGUCCGUGAUAUCUGUCAUGGCGUCUGGAGGGUGUGAAUGUGAGAAGAGAACUUGUGUGAUAGCGGGGGAGAACUGAUAGUAGCAGAGAUCUGAUAGUUGGAAACAACGCUUUGGUUUGUAAAUUUCUCGAUGUAAUUUUAUGCUGUUGAAUUACUGUUCUUGAUUCGUGCUGAAUUGUAUUUACGUUCCACGAAUAUUGCUUAUUCUAUUGUAACUUUCCAGUGUGUUGUAAAAUAAAAUAAAAUAUAUUGUUUUGCUUCUUUAUUUGAACCUAUUAUUCCUCUCUUCGUAUAAUGUGUGUAUUCAUGUACAGACGUCAUGGGGAAAGGAGUCUUAAGGGUUGCGAAUGCCACUUCGUCUCGUCGGCCAUUAUGAAGAAUGUGACGUAGUAUUUGAGUCUGGAAGUGCUUAAGGAGACUGGACUCCUGAAAUAUCUGGUGGUUCGUCAGAAGUACGUGCGCACUCAUUAUCAGGACCAGUAUAGCAUGCAGCAAGAUGUUGUGCAGUACUGAUCUACGUGGCCCAGCUUAAGAUGUUGAGGAGCUCCCUAAAACUGUUGAUAGUGCAGUACUUACUUGGAUGCAGGCAGUAUCCAGUGAAGGUAAAGUACAUUGUAAAGCUGCAUUUUUUGAUGGUCCAAUAUGAACUUCAAGUAUUUUUAUUUAUUUCAUGGCCAGAGAACAGUAAAAAAAAUUCUGGUAGCAGUGGAUAAUAUUUGAAGUCUCCGUUGUCAUUUGUGUAAGAUAAACUGUCUGCAGAAAAUCUGGAAUCAAAAUGAUACAUUGCUACUUACUGCAGAGAGUGGUUGGAUCUUGAGCAAAAUUAUGGCGAGACAAGAUGGUAAACAUAUGAACAAAUUAAUCCAUUUGGUGACUUCACGUAUACCCAUUGUAUCUUCUGUUUGCAAAGUCAUUCACUUUGCAAUAUUUCUUGAGUCAAUUCUAGUGCAUGAAUCUUGCAAAAGAAUGCCUCGUAGCACACGUAAGUAAUGCGUUGUAAGACUGACCCAAUACUUCCUUGAUAUUGAAUGAGCAUGAACUUAAAACUUUGACUUACAGUGAUCGGGUUAUCAGAAUUAGAUGUAUUCUCUACCUUACACAGGUUACUUUCUUCCCUAAAAUAUGGAAAGAAGUAAAAAUGAAAAAUUGAAUAUUUGAAAGAAAAGAUGUCUUCGCUACCUUAUUUUGUCAGACCUGCAGCUGUUGACACGCUUGGUAAGUCACUGUACAUAUAGCGUGAACACAUUUUUUAGUAUGCUUGGUUUCACUUUAACCAAUUAAAUGUAUGGAGCUACAAAUUGAAACAAUAUUACCACUUAAACUUACUAUGUACAUAGUUAAUAGAUAUCCACAAAAAAAAUAAACUUGUGGAUCUUCCUUGUGAACAUACAGUGGUGGACCUAUACAGAGGAGGGAUUAAAUGUAUGUGCUUCAAUAACUAUGAACAGUAUUAGUAUUUUGGCUGGACUUCCUGUCAAAUAUCCAAAACCAAAGGCGCUCUUUUACACAGCACCCAGGAUUUAGAUACGCUGUAUUUCAUUAGUGCUUAGUGGGACACUAUCAGAUUGCACUGCAAGUUGAGGUGGUACUCUGUGCCAGUCACUGAACAAAGGGUUAGCUCCAUGUAAGUUGGGCAUUAGUGUGUUGGAGAUAAGGUGUCAGUUUUUUACUAUCCAGUCAGUAAGUACUACUGCCUUACCCUUGUUUGCAUGGCCAAAACAUUGCUGUGUUAUGAGGGAGGGGCAGACUAAAUUGAGCUAUACGGAAGUAAGCCAACAUUAUCUGUACUUGUUUUUGUCAUGGUUCCUUAAUUUAAGAGUGAUGAGCAUUCCUUAGAUCACUAUAAAUGCAGGUCGUGUACUGGCAGUGAAAGACAGCCAGGAUUGCCUAUGUUGUGUGCUAUGAAAGAGGUAAGUUCCAUGUAAGAAUAAGUAACAAAGCACUAUUUGUAACUGAAAAAUUGAAAACCAUGUUUGGGCUGUAAAACAAAAUUAUUUUUGAUGAGCUGGAGUGCCCAUUACAAAUUAUUACAUUUUAGCACAUCAUACAACAAAACACAGACCAUCAGAUGAUCACUAAAAACAAUCUCUGUGCAUUUUCUGAAAGUACAGUAAUUGUGUUGUACAGAUGUUUAACUGGUGACACUCAUUAGUCAUUAAAUACUUUAAAGUGAUUACUCGCAGGACUUCCUUAAGUCAGAAAUUACGUUGUACCAAACCAUGCAAUAUACUUUGAAGGGCUCACCUUGUUUAGAAUGUACAAAAAAAUUGAACCAAUGCAUUGAGAACUUCACUGGUUAGUAAGUUCCCUUUCAUAGUAUUUGGUGAAUACAAUAACUUGUUUAGUCCCCUUCUAUUUGCUUGAUAUCCUUGCUGAGAUCUUGAGUGAUUGCUUGUAAGCCAUUGUGAUGUGAAAUGUCAAUCAGUAUAAUGAACCACAUAACAGUUGGGGAAACACUGCUUAACAUUUAAGGGGUGACACUGUUUGAAUUGGAUUUCUCUAUGGUAAGGAAAAGGUGGAGAUAAUGUUGAAUUAUAAAGAAUUUUUGUAAUUGUAUACUACUAGCAACUGUCAUCGUCCUGAGAGAUCUUAAUAUAAAUUGUUGAAUGAUUUGUCUGCAAAUUUAAAUGCUUUACAAACUUUGUAAUAGUUUGCAUGGUUGAAGCAGGCUUCAACUGGUGUUCAAAAUGUCUGAGUCUCUGCAUUUUGAUUUGAAGUUGGGGGAGGGAGUGCAAAGACAUAGUAUAGAGCCUGUAAUGAAUUGGAAGAAGUUAUUGCUACCUUUAUCUGCUUAGGCAUAGUCCAUACCAAUUCAGGCAGGCUAGGACAAAAUCAUGCCUUUGUCAGAUGUUAUUGAAUUUAGCGUAUGUUAAAAUGGACUAAAUAAGGAACUUACUUUUUUGUUUUCUCCCAAACAAAAUCUGCUCUGAGAUAAGCCCUCCAAAGAUGAUGCUGCAUGUACCACUUUGAAGAUGUGAAUUUUGGAAAAAUUUUAAACUGGCAUAUAUCUGG
Long non-coding RNA from Schistocerca piceifrons (Central American locust), 3137 nucleotides. RefSeq lists it as uncharacterized. The transcript has 4 exons. NCBI's taxonomy places the organism in Eukaryota, Metazoa, Arthropoda, Insecta, Orthoptera, Acrididae. The record is from RefSeq and is a predicted model, not a curated record.